This 362-nucleotide ribosomal RNA is filed under the name uncultured bacterium. RNAcentral's name for it is "bacterial SSU rRNA". It matches the Rfam family "Bacterial small subunit ribosomal RNA", at positions 30 to 391 of the family's 1533-position model. The record is from RNAcentral.
AUUGAACGCUGGCGGAAUGCUUUACACAUGCAAGUCGAACGGCAGCACGGGGCAACCUGGUGGCGAGUGGCGAACGGGUGAGUAAUACAUCGGAACGUGCCCAAUCGUGGGGGAUAACGUAGCGAAAGUUACGCUAAUACCGCAUACGAUCUACGGAUGAAAGCGGGGGAUCGGCAAGACCUCGCGCGAAUGGAGCGGCCGAUGUCAGAUUAGGUAGUUGGUGGGGUAAAGGCUCACCAAGCCGACGAUCUGUAGCUGGUCUGAGAGGACGACCAGCCACACUGGGACUGAGACACGGCCCAGACUCCUACGGGAGGCAGCAGUGGGGAAUUUUUGGGACAAUGGGCGCAAGCCUGAUCCAG